GAUGAACGCUGGCGGCGUGCCUAAUACAUGCAAAUCGAGCGAACAGACGAGGAGCUUGCUCCUCUGACGUUAGCGGCGGACGGGUGAGUAACACGUGGAUAACCUACCUAUAAGACUGGGAUAACUUCGGGAAACCGGAGCUAAUACCGGAUAAUAUAUUGAACCGCAUGGUUCAAUAGUGAAAGACGGUUUUGCUGUCACUUAUAGAUGGAUCCGCGCCGCAUUAGCUAGUUGGUAAGGUAACGGCUUACCAAGGCAACGAUGCGUAGCCGACCUGAGAGGGUGAUCGGCCACACUGGAACUGAGACACGGUCCAAACUCCUACGGGAGGCAGCAGUAGGGAAUCUUCCGCAAUGGGCGGAAGCCUGACGGAGCAACGCCGCGUGAGUGAUGAAGGUCUUCGGAUCGUAAAACUCUGUUAUUAGGGAAGAACAAAUGUGUAAGUAACUAUGCACGUCUUGACGGUACCUAAUCAGAAAGCCACGGCUAACUACGUG
This 497-nucleotide ribosomal RNA is filed under the name uncultured bacterium. Its description in RNAcentral is "partial 16S ribosomal RNA". It matches the Rfam family "Bacterial small subunit ribosomal RNA", at positions 28 to 507 of the family's 1533-position model. The record is from RNAcentral.